Molecule: ribosomal RNA, 468 nt
Filed under: uncultured bacterium
Lineage: Bacteria
Description: partial 16S ribosomal RNA
Rfam family: Bacterial small subunit ribosomal RNA
Source: RNAcentral
GACGAACGCUGGCGGCGUGCUUAACACAUCCAAGUCGAACGGAAAGGCCCUGCUUUUGUGGGGUGCUCGAGUGGCGAACGGGUGAGUAACACGUGAGUAACCUGCCCUUGACUUUGGGAUAACUUCAGGAAACUGGGGCUAAUACCGGAUAGGAGCUCCUGCUGCAUGGUGGGGGUUGGAAAGUUUCGGCGGUUGGGGAUGGACUCGCGGCUUAUCAGCUUGUUGGUGGGGUAGUGGCUUACCAAGGCUUUGACGGGUAGCCGGCCUGAGAGGGUGACCGGCCACAUUGGGACUGAGAUACGGCCCAGACUCCUACGGGAGGAAGCAGUGGGGAAUAUUGCACAAUGGGCGGAAGCCUGAUGCAGCAACGCCGCGUGCGGGAUGACGGCCUUCGGGUUGUAAACCGCUUUCGCCUGUGACGAAGCGUGAGUGACGGUAAUGGGUAAAGAAGCACCGGCUAACUACGUG